Non-coding RNA from Cherax quadricarinatus, 1339 nucleotides. Lineage: Eukaryota; Metazoa; Arthropoda; Malacostraca; Decapoda; Parastacidae. The record is from RefSeq and is a predicted model, not a curated record.
UCUAUGUCAGUGAUGCAGUCAAAAUUGUGGUAAACACAAGCCGAGCACCUGAGAUCUGUACGAACUAGUCUGAUUUGAACACCGAUCUCCCGACUAAUGUUCCCACGUAGGUCGCCACCGAUCUCCUGGCUGACGUUCCCACCGAGGUCGCCACCGAUCUCCCUGCUCACCUUUCAACCGAGGACGACACCGCACUGGAUUCCUGGGAGGUGUGAACUGCCCACUGAUUAUCUUAUGGUAGAACUGGAGGAUUUUUGUUAAUCUUAGAUCAGAUGUUCUGCAUCUCGCAGCAGUGUUCACUUAACUUUGCUGAGUGUUUCACUCAAGAACAAAGACCCUCACUGGAAAUAGUGCAGAUCAAUUAGACUUAGUUCUUAACCAAGAUUUCUAUUAUGAAUUGAAUCAUUUUUAUAUCAUAAACAGUUUAUACUGUCAAUAUAAACUAUGUUUAUAUUAUUACAAAGUUUUGCCUUAAAAGUUAUACAUUCUUUAGAGUUUUGGUGUAUUUUGUUUUCUGUCCAGUAAUACCGGAACUUUCAUUGGUAUCUCCAGUUGUAUUUGACUAAUAUUAAUAACUUCAUACAUAUAGUGGUUGAGUGUGUUCUUGCCUGUGGUUGAGUGUGUUCUUGCCUGUGGUUGAGUGUGAUCUUGGUGUGGUUGAGUGUGAUCUUGAUGUGGUUGAGUGUGAUCUUGGUGUGGUUGAGUGUGAUCAUGCUUGGGGUGAGUUUUAUCCAGUGUUCGAGUAGGUCCGUGAAGACGUGUUUCUUGGGAUACUAAUGUCUCCUGCGAGGCAGAGUUGUCAAACCUCGUAGCAGUAACAUUACAAUAUGUUCGCAUUUUUUCGCGACGGGGGGGGGGAGAUACACUGUUUUCACCACUACUACGCUGUCAUCUUCACUACACAGUCACCUACACGACACAGUCGUCUUCACUAUGUCAUCUUCACUACACUGCCAUCUUCACUACACUGUCACCUCGACUUCAGUGUCAUUUUCACUACACUGUCAUCUUCACUACACUGUCAUCAUCACUACAAUGUCAUCACUACACUGUCAUCUUCACUUCAAUGUCAUCUUCACUAUAUUGUCAUCUUCACUACACUGUCAUCUUCACUACACUGUCAUCCUCACUACACUGUCAUCUUCACUACACUAAUAACUUCACAACUUUGUUAUCACUAAUCACUACUGUUAUCACUGCUGUAAUCAUUAAACUGUUAUGAUCCCUGUUGUUAUCGUCGCUACUGCACUGUUAUCACUACUACACUAUUAUCGCACUAUAUUAUCACAGCGACUUCACUAUCACCCCUACAGAGCUGUUAUUACACUGAUAUCCCUAA